RNAcentral lists this ribosomal RNA (242 nucleotides) under uncultured bacterium. Its description in RNAcentral is "partial 16S ribosomal RNA". It matches the Rfam family "Bacterial small subunit ribosomal RNA", at positions 524 to 765 of the family's 1533-position model. The record is from RNAcentral.
UACAGAGGGUGCAAGCGUUAAUCGGAUUUACUGGGCGUAAAGCGCGCGUAGGCGGCUAAUUAAGUCAAAUGUGAAAUCCCCGAGCUUAACUUGGGAAUUGCAUUCGAUACUGGUUAGCUAGAGUGUGGGAGAGGAUGGUAGAAUUCCAGGUGUAGCGGUGAAAUGCGUAGAGAUCUGGAGGAAUACCGAUGGCGAAGGCAGCCAUCUGGCCUAACACUGACGCUGAGGUGCGAAAGCAUGGG